UACGUAGGCAGCAAGCGUUGUUCGGAGUUACUGGGCGUAAAGGGUGCGUAGGCGGCUUCUUAAGUCUGGUGUGAAAUCUCCCGGCUCAACUGGGAGGGUGCGCCGGAUACUGAGGGGCUAGAGUGUGGGAGAGGAAAGUGGAAUUCCUGGUGUAGCGGUGAAAUGCGUAGAUAUCGUUGGAACGCCAAUGGUGAAACAGGUUGGCUGGGAGUGUGCUGACGCUGAGACACGAAGGCCAGGGGAGCAAACGGG
Molecule: ribosomal RNA, 252 nt
Filed under: uncultured bacterium
Lineage: Bacteria
Description: partial 16S ribosomal RNA
Rfam family: Bacterial small subunit ribosomal RNA
Source: RNAcentral